This 253-nucleotide ribosomal RNA is filed under the name uncultured bacterium. Its description in RNAcentral is "partial 16S ribosomal RNA". It matches the Rfam family "Bacterial small subunit ribosomal RNA", at positions 524 to 776 of the family's 1533-position model. The record is from RNAcentral.
UACGUAGGGUGCGAGCGUUGUCCGGAAUUACUGGGCGUAAAGAGCUCGUAGGUGGUUUGUCGCGUUGUUCGUGAAAUCUCACGGCUUAACUGUGAGCGUGCGGGCGAUACGGGCAGACUAGAGUACUGCAGGGGAGACUGGAAUUCCUGGUGUAGCGGUGGAAUGCGCAGAUAUCAGGAGGAACACCGGUGGCGAAGGCGGGUCUCUGGGCAGUAACUGACGCUGAGGCGCGACAGCGUGGGGAGCAAACAGG